UUAAAUUGAAGAGUUUGAUCAUGGCUCAGAUUGAACGCUGGCGGCAGGCCUAACACAUGCAAGUCGAACGGUAACAGGAAACAGCUUGCUGUUUCGCUGACGAGUGGCGGACGGGUGAGUAAUGUCUGGGAAACUGCCUGAUGGAGGGGGAUAACUACUGGAAACGGUAGCUAAUACCGCAUAACGUCGCAAGACCAAAGAGGGGGACCUUCGGGCCUCUUGCCAUCGGAUGUGCCCAGAUGGGAUUAGCUUGUUGGUGGGGUAACGGCUCACCAAGGCGACGAUCCCUAGCUGGUCUGAGAGGAUGACCAGCCACACUGGAACUGAGACACGGUCCAGACUCCUACGGGAGGCAGCAGUGGGGAAUAUUGCACAAUGGGCGCAAGCCUGAUGCAGCCAUGCCGCGUGUAUGAAGAAGGCCUUCGGGUUGUAAAGUACUUUCAGCGGGGAGGAAGGGAGUAAAGUUAAUACCUUUGCUCAUUGACGUUACCCGCAGAAGAAGCACCGGCUAACUCCGUGCCAGCAGCCGCGGUAAUACGGAGGGUGCAAGCGUUAAUCGGAAUUACUGGGCGUAAAGCGCACGCAGGCGGUUUGUUAAGUCAGAUGUGAAAUCCCCGGGCUCAACCUGGGAACUGCAUCUGAUACUGGCAAGCUUGAGUCUCGUAGAGGGGGGUAGAAUUCCAGGUGUAGCGGUGAAAUGCGUAGAGAUCUGGAGGAAUACCGGUGGCGAAGGCGGCCCCCUGGACGAAGACUGACGCUCAGGUGCGAAAGCGUGGGGAGCAAACAGGAUUAGAUACCCUGGUAGUCCACGCCGUAAACGAUGUCGACUUGGAGGUUGUGCCCUUGAGGCGUGGCUUCCGGAGCUAACGCGUUAAGUCGACCGCCUGGGGAGUACGGCCGCAAGGUUAAAACUCAAAUGAAUUGACGGGGGCCCGCACAAGCGGUGGAGCAUGUGGUUUAAUUCGAUGCAACGCGAAGAACCUUACCUGGUCUUGACAUCCACGGAAGUUUUCAGAGAUGAGAAUGUGCCUUCGGGAACCGUGAGACAGGUGCUGCAUGGCUGUCGUCAGCUCGUGUUGUGAAAUGUUGGGUUAAGUCCCGCAACGAGCGCAACCCUUAUCCUUUGUUGCCAGCGGUCCGGCCGGGAACUCAAAGGAGACUGCCAGUGAUAAACUGGAGGAAGGUGGGGAUGACGUCAAGUCAUCAUGGCCCUUACGACCAGGGCUACACACGUGCUACAAUGGCGCAUACAAAGAGAAGCGACCUCGCGAGAGCAAGCGGACCUCAUAAAGUGCGUCGUAGUCCGGAUUGGAGUCUGCAACUCGACUCCAUGAAGUCGGAAUCGCUAGUAAUCGUGGAUCAGAAUGCCACGGUGAAUACGUUCCCGGGCCUUGUACACACCGCCCGUCACACCAUGGGAGUGGGUUGCAAAAGAAGUAGGUAGCUUAACCUUCGGGAGGGCGCUUACCACUUUGUGAUUCAUGACUGGGGUGAAGUCGUAACAAGGUAACCGUAGGGGAACCUGCGGUUGGAUCACCUCCUUA
Molecule: ribosomal RNA, 1544 nt
Filed under: Escherichia coli 55989
Lineage: Bacteria; Pseudomonadati; Pseudomonadota; Gammaproteobacteria; Enterobacterales; Enterobacteriaceae
Description: 16S ribosomal RNA
Rfam family: Bacterial small subunit ribosomal RNA
Source: RNAcentral